UGUCCGUUUAUUUAGCAAAUAAAUAAACAACUUGUACUGCCAUGUAGCGAUUUCGAUAGACGACGCCUUCAAGGGAGGAGGAGUCUACAACAUAUUGAAUUUAUCGAUCGAUUGUUAGGCCGAUUUCGAUCAGCAUUGUAUAGUUAAUGAAUGACAACUUGACGAGAUCUUGACACGCACGUUGGAAGUGUACGCGUGUUUGCACCUCGAUGAGCGUUGCACAAUAACAAAGCUCCGUUGGUGAGCGUAUUGAUUAAUAAAGGUAUUUAAGGCAUUAUCCAAUUAGUCAUGCCAUAAUGUCUCACUUUGUUGGCAGCUAGGUGAAGUCCUUGAGUGCCCCAAGGACUUUGUUUUGUUUUAGCAGUAUUUUUUCCUUCAACAAUUAAUCUUGCAUCUCCAACCGUGGAAUGAGUUACAUGUGACUCGAGACAAACAAACAGUGCAAUUGCAACAAUAUAAUUAGUCAGCGGUAUGGUCACUAUCAGCAGCUUUACACACAGUGUGCAUCGUGAAUACAUCAAUCCCAGAGAAAACAUUCCAAUGGAAAAUAUUGAGAAUUUCUGCCCUUCUAUCCUGAACUAAACAAUGCUGGGAGAUUGGUUAUCUCUUCACAGAGAUGAGUCAUCCGCUCCUUGGACAACGCUGCGAUCGU
Molecule: long non-coding RNA, 652 nt
Organism: Daphnia magna
Lineage: Eukaryota; Metazoa; Arthropoda; Branchiopoda; Diplostraca; Daphniidae
Exons: 3
Source: RefSeq, a predicted model, not a curated record